CCUAAAACUUUAAUUGAAAAACUAGAAACAAAAGAUCCUCGAGAAGACGACGGAAAAGAUUGAAUAAAACUGAGACAUACGAUACGAUGUAUGAUCACUUGGGAGCAUCAAAUUUAUAUAAAUCCAAUCCGCAUCAUUAUAUAAAAGAAGA
Molecule: long non-coding RNA, 151 nt
Organism: Hibiscus syriacus
Lineage: Eukaryota; Viridiplantae; Streptophyta; Magnoliopsida; Malvales; Malvaceae
Exons: 3
Source: RefSeq, a predicted model, not a curated record